GGUUAAGCGACUAAGCGUACACGGUGGAUGCCCUGGCAGUCAGAGGCGAUGAAGGGCGUGCUAAUCUGCGAUAAGCGCCGGUAAGGUGAUAUGAACCGUUAUAACCGGCGAUACCCGAAUGGGGAAACCCAGUGUGACUCGUCACACUAUCAUUAACUGAAUCCAUAGGUUAAUGAGGCGAACCGGGAGAACUGAAACAUCUAAGUACCCCGAGGAAAAGAAAUCAACCGAGAUUCCCCCAGUAGCGGCGAGCGAACGGGGAGGAGCCCAGAGCCUGAAUCAGCAUGUGUGUUAGUGGAAGCGUCUGGAAAGGCGCGCGAUACAGGGUGACAGCCCCGUACACAAAAGCGCAUGUGCUGUGAGCUCGAUGAGUAGGGCGGGACACGUGGUAUCCUGUCUGAAUAUGGGGGGACCAUCCUCCAAGGCUAAAUACUCCUGACUGACCGAUAGUGAACCAGUACCGUGAGGGAAAGGCGAAAAGAACCCCGGCGAGGGGAGUGAAAAAGAACCUGAAACCGUGUACGUACAAGCAGUGGGAGCACAGGUUUACCUGUGUGACUGCGUACCUUUUGUAUAAUGGGUCAGCGACUUAUAUUCUGUAGCAAGGUUAACCGAAUAGGGGAGCCGGAGGGAAACCGAGUCUUAAUUGGGCGUUAAGUUGCAGGGUAUAGACCCGAAACCCGGUGAUCUAGCCAUGGGCAGGUUGAAGGUUGGGUAACACUAACUGGAGGACCGAACCGACUAAUGUUGAAAAAUUAGCGGAUGACCUGUGGCUGGGGGUGAAAGGCCAAUCAAACCGGGAGAUAGCUGGUUCUCCCCGAAAGCUAUUUAGGUAGCGCCUCGUGAAUUCAUCUCCGGGGGUAGAGCACUGUUUCGGCUAGGGGGCCAUCCCGGCUUACCAACCCGAUGCAAACUGCGAAUACCGGAGAAUGUUAUCACGGGAGACACACGGCGGGUGCUAACGUCCGUCGUGAAGAGGGAAACAACCCAGACCGCCAGCUAAGGUCCCAAAGUCAUGGUUAAGUGGGAAACGAUGUGGGAAGGCCCAGACAGCCAGGAUGUUGGCUUAGAAGCAGCCAUCAUUUAAAGAAAGCGUAAUAGCUCACUGGUCGAGUCGGCCUGCGCGGAAGAUGUAACGGGGCUAAACCAUGCACCGAAGCUGCGGCAGCGACGCUUAUGCGUUGUUGGGUAGGGGAGCGUUCUGUAAGCCUGUGAAGGUGUGUCGUGAGGCAUGCUGGAGGUAUCAGAAGUGCGAAUGCUGACAUAAGUAACGAUAAAGCGGGUGAAAAGCCCGCUCGCCGGAAGACCAAGGGUUCCUGUCCAACGUUAAUCGGGGCAGGGUGAGUCGACCCCUAAGGCGAGGCCGAAAGGCGUAGUCGAUGGGAAACGGGUUAAUAUUCCCGUACUUGGUGUUACUGCGAAGGGGGGACGGAGAAGGCUAUGUUGGCCGGGCGACGGUUGUCCCGGUUUAAGCGUGUAGGUGUGUGUUCCAGGUAAAUCCGGUUCACUUUAACACUGAGGCGUGACGACGAGGCACUACGGUGCUGAAGCAACAAAUGCCCUGCUUCCAGGAAAAGCCUCUAAGCAUCAGGUAACAUCAAAUCGUACCCCAAACCGACACAGGUGGUCAGGUAGAGAAUACCAAGGCGCUUGAGAGAACUCGGGUGAAGGAACUAGGCAAAAUGGUGCCGUAACUUCGGGAGAAGGCACGCUGACACGUAGGUGAAGUGAUUUACUCAUGGAGCUGAAGUCAGUCGAAGAUACCAGCUGGCUGCAACUGUUUAUUAAAAACACAGCACUGUGCAAACACGAAAGUGGACGUAUACGGUGUGACGCCUGCCCGGUGCCGGAAGGUUAAUUGAUGGGGUCAGCGCAAGCGAAGCUCCUGAUCGAAGCCCCGGUAAACGGCGGCCGUAACUAUAACGGUCCUAAGGUAGCGAAAUUCCUUGUCGGGUAAGUUCCGACCUGCACGAAUGGCGUAAUGAUGGCCAGGCUGUCUCCACCCGAGACUCAGUGAAAUUGAACUCGCUGUGAAGAUGCAGUGUACCCGCGGCAAGACGGAAAGACCCCGUGAACCUUUACUAUAGCUUGACACUGAACAUUGAGCCUUGAUGUGUAGGAUAGGUGGGAGGCUUUGAAGCGUGGACGCCAGUCUGCGUGGAGCCGACCUUGAAAUACCACCCUUUAAUGUUUGAUGUUCUAACGUGGACCCGUUACCCGGGUUGCGGACAGUGUCUGGUGGGUAGUUUGACUGGGGCGGUCUCCUCCUAAAGAGUAACGGAGGAGCACGAAGGUUGGCUAAUCCUGGUCGGACAUCAGGAGGUUAGUGCAAUGGCAUAAGCCAGCUUGACUGCGAGCGUGACGGCGCGAGCAGGUGCGAAAGCAGGUCAUAGUGAUCCGGUGGUUCUGAAUGGAAGGGCCAUCGCUCAACGGAUAAAAGGUACUCCGGGGAUAACAGGCUGAUACCGCCCAAGAGUUCAUAUCGACGGCGGUGUUUGGCACCUCGAUGUCGGCUCAUCACAUCCUGGGGCUGAAGUAGGUCCCAAGGGUAUGGCUGUUCGCCAUUUAAAGUGGUACGCGAGCUGGGUUUAGAACGUCGUGAGACAGUUCGGUCCCUAUCUGCCGUGGGCGCUGGAGAACUGAGGGGGGCUGCUCCUAGUACGAGAGGACCGGAGUGGACGCAUCACUGGUGUUCGGGUUGUCAUGCCAAUGGCACUGCCCGGUAGCUAAAUGCGGAAGAGAUAAGUGCUGAAAGCAUCUAAGCACGAAACUUGCCCCGAGAUGAGUUCUCCCUGAGACUUUAAGUCUCCUGAAGGAACGUUGAAGACGACGACGUUGAUAGGCCGGGUGUGUAAGCGCAGCGAUGCGUUGAGCUAACCGGUACUAAUGAACCGUGAGGCUUAACCUU
This 2908-nucleotide ribosomal RNA is filed under the name Salmonella enterica subsp. enterica serovar Kottbus. Its description in RNAcentral is "23S ribosomal RNA". It matches the Rfam family "Bacterial large subunit ribosomal RNA". The record is from RNAcentral. Lineage: Bacteria; Pseudomonadati; Pseudomonadota; Gammaproteobacteria; Enterobacterales; Enterobacteriaceae.